RNAcentral lists this ribosomal RNA (586 nucleotides) under fungal sp. Its description in RNAcentral is "eukaryotic LSU rRNA". The stretch from base 218 to 371 matches the Rfam family "5.8S ribosomal RNA". Lineage: Eukaryota; Fungi. The record is from RNAcentral.
GUAACAAGGUCUCCGUUGGUGAACCAGCGGAGGGAUCAUUACAGAGUUACCAAAACUCCCAAACCCAUGUGAACAUACCUCGCGUUGCCUCGGCAGGUGGCGUCCUACCCCGUGAGACCUACCCUGUAGGACCUACCCGGUAGGCGACCCUGCCGACGGCCCCCGAAACUCUGUUUUUAUAGCAUUGGACUUCUGAAAAGAUAACUAAAUAAGUUAAAACUUUCAACAACGGAUCUCUUGGUUCUGGCAUCGAUGAAGAACGCAGCGAAAUGCGAUAAGUAAUGUGAAUUGCAGAAUUCAGUGAAUCAUCGAAUCUUUGAACGCACAUUGCGCCCACUAGUAUUCUGGUGGGCAUGCCUGUUCGAGCGUCAUUUCAACCCUUAAGCCCCUGUUGCUUAGCGUUAGGAGCCUACUGGAAACUCUCCUGUAGCUCCCCAAAGUCAGUGGCGGAGCCGGUUCGCACUCCAGACGUAGUAGCUUUUACACAUCGCCUGUAGCUUGGACCCGGUCCCUUGCCGUAAAACACCCCAAAUCUUAUAGGUUGACCUCGGAUCAGGUAGGAAUACCCGCUGAACUUAAGCAUAUC